GGUGCGUAACACGUGGGAAUCUGCCCUUAGGUACGGAAUAACUCAGGGAAACUUGAGCUAAUACCGUAUGAUGUCUUCGGACCAAAGAUUUAUCGCCUAGGGAUGAGCCCGCGUCGGAUUAGCUAGUUGGUGGGGUAAAGGCCUACCAAGGCGACGAUGGUUAGCUGGUCUGAGAGGAUGAUCAGCCACACUGGAACUGAGACACGGUCCAGACUCCUACGGGAGGCAGCAGUGAGGAAUAUUGCGCAAUGCCCGAAAGGGUGACGCAGCGACGCCGCGUGGAGGAUGAAGGCCCUCUGGGUCGUAAACUCCUGUUGAGAGGGAAGAACGGAGCGCUAUAGGCGCUCGUGACGGUACCUCUAGAGAAAGCACCGGCUAACUACGUGCCAGCAGCCGCGGUAAUACGUAGGGUGCUAGCGUUGUCCGGAUUCACUGGGUGUAAAGGGAGCGCAGGCGGGUCUUCAAGUCGUUGGUGAAAUUCUCAGGCUCAACCUGGGGACUGCCAAUGAUACUGGAGAUCUUGAGUGCAGAAGAGGAAGACGGAAUUCCUGGUGUAGCGGUGAAAUGCGUAGAUAUCAGGAAGAACACCGGUGGCGAAGGCGGUCUUCUGGUCUGCAACUGACGCUCAUGCUCGAAAGCGUGGGUAGCAAACAGGAUUAGAUACCCUGGUAGUCCACGCCCUAAACGAUGGAUACUCGAUGUCAGGCCGCAAGGCUCGGUGUCCAAGUUAACGCAUUAAGUAUCCCACCUGGGGAGUACGAUCGCAAGGUU
RNAcentral lists this ribosomal RNA (771 nucleotides) under uncultured bacterium. Its description in RNAcentral is "bacterial SSU rRNA". It matches the Rfam family "Bacterial small subunit ribosomal RNA", at positions 105 to 895 of the family's 1533-position model. The record is from RNAcentral.